RNAcentral lists this ribosomal RNA (564 nucleotides) under Microascales sp. RKDO871. Its description in RNAcentral is "eukaryotic LSU rRNA". It matches the Rfam family "Eukaryotic large subunit ribosomal RNA", at positions 83 to 667 of the family's 3401-position model. Lineage: Eukaryota; Fungi; Ascomycota; Sordariomycetes; Microascales. The record is from RNAcentral.
GUAACGGCGAGUGAAGCGGUAACAGCUCAAAUUUGAAAUCUGGUCCCCUCUGGGGGCCCGAGUUGUAAUUUGAAGAGGAUGCUUUUGGCGAGGCGCCUUCCGAGUGCCCUGGAACGGGACGCCACAGAGGGUGAGAGCCCCGUAUGGUAGGACGCCGAGCCUCUGUAAAGCUCCUUCGACGAGUCGAGUAGUUUGGGAAUGCUGCUCAAAAUGGGAGGUAAACCCCUUCUAAAGCUAAAUAUUGGCCAGAGACCGAUAGCGCACAAGUAGAGUGAUCGAAAGAUGAAAAGCACUUUGAAAAGAGAGUUAAACAGCACGUGAAAUUGUUGAAAGGGAAGCGCUUGCGACCAGACUUGCGCCCGUCGGAUCAACCGUCCCUCGUGGGCGGCGCACUCCGGCGGGCUCAGGCCAGCAUCAGUUUUCCUGGGGGGAGAAAGGCGGCGGGAAUGUGGCUCUUCGGAGUGUUAUAGCCCGCCGUGUAAUGCCCCCGGGGGGACUGAGGACCGCGCGAAAGCAAGGAUGCUGGCGUAAUGGUCGUCAGCGACCCGUCUUGAAACACGGACC